Molecule: ribosomal RNA, 468 nt
Filed under: uncultured bacterium
Lineage: Bacteria
Description: partial 16S ribosomal RNA
Rfam family: Bacterial small subunit ribosomal RNA
Source: RNAcentral
GACGAACGCUGGCGGCGUGCUUAACACAUGCGAGUCGAACGGAAAGGCCCUGCUUUUGUGGGGUGCUCGAGUGGCGAACGGGUGAGUAACACGUGAGUAACCUGCCCUUGACUUUGGGAUAACUUCAGGAAACUGGGGCUAAUACCGGAUAGGAGCUCCUGCUGCUUGGUGGGGGUUGGAAAGUUUAGGCGGUUGGGGAUGGACUCGCGGCUUAUCAGCUUGUUGGUGGGGUAGUGGCUUACCAAGGCUUUGACGGGUAGCCGGCCUGAGAGGGUGACCGGCCACAUGGGGACUGAGAUACGGCCAAGACUCGUACGGGAGGCAGCGGUGGGGAAUAUUGCGCAAUGGGCGGAAGCGUGAUGCAGCAACGCCGCGUGCGGGAUGACGGCCUGCGGGUGGUAAACCGCUUUCGCCUGUGACGAAGCGUGAGUGACGGUAAUGGGUAAAGAAGCACCGGCUAACUACGUG